Non-coding RNA from Pelobates cultripes (western spadefoot toad), 205 nucleotides. NCBI's taxonomy places the organism in Eukaryota, Metazoa, Chordata, Amphibia, Anura, Pelobatidae. The record is from the annotation of a GenBank genome assembly.
GUCAGUGUGACGGACCGCCUGGCACCCUGACCGGGUCCUUCCAUCAAUCGCUGCUUCCUAGUAUCACUGAGUACUAUAAGCACCGCACCAGACACCAUAAACACCGUAGCUCUCCUUAGCCGCUGCAGCUUGGCUGGGGUCUAGCCAGUGGCGUACACAUGACCCAUGGGGCCCCGGUGCGAAAAUUGAUCCGUGGGCCCCCCCC